RNAcentral lists this ribosomal RNA (378 nucleotides) under Rinodina pityrea. RNAcentral describes it as "partial small subunit ribosomal RNA". It matches the Rfam family "Bacterial small subunit ribosomal RNA", at positions 785 to 1210 of the family's 1533-position model. The record is from RNAcentral. Lineage: Eukaryota; Fungi; Ascomycota; Lecanoromycetes; Caliciales; Physciaceae.
CCCAAGUAGUCUUAGCAGAAAAUUAUGAAUGUCAUAGGAUGGAAACAACAAAUUUUUUUUUCUAUAAAUGAAAGUGUAAGCAUUCCACCUCGAGAGUAAUUUGGCAACAUUGGAACUGAAAUCAUUAAACCGUUUCUGAAACAAGUAGUGAAGUAUGUUGUUUAAUUUGAUGGUCCGCAAAAAACCUUACCACAAUUUGAAUAGAAAAAUUAUUUUUCAUACAAGCGCUGCACGGUUGUCUUCAGUUAAUGUCGUGAGAUCUUGGUUAGUUCCAUUAAAUUAACGUAAACCCUUACUUUAUUUUUACAUAAAGUAGUUCUCCGCUAUAUUGGAUAAAAUAACAGGGACUAAAACAAGUCAUCAUGGCCUUAAUAUUGU